RNAcentral lists this ribosomal RNA (438 nucleotides) under uncultured bacterium. Its description in RNAcentral is "bacterial SSU rRNA". It matches the Rfam family "Bacterial small subunit ribosomal RNA", at positions 338 to 795 of the family's 1533-position model. The record is from RNAcentral.
CCUACGGGGUGCAGCAGUGGGGAAUAUUGGACAAUGGGCGAAAGCCUGAUCCAGCAAUGCCGUGUGUGUGAAGAAGGUCUUCGGAUUGUAAAGCACCUUCGACGGGGACGAUGAUGACGGUACCCGUAGAAGAAGCCCCGGCUAACUUCGUGCCAGCAGCCGCGGUAAUACGAAGGGGGCUAGCGUUGCUCGGAAUGACUGGGCGUAAAGGGCGCGUAGGCGGUUUAUGCUGUCAGAUGUGAAAUCCCCGGGCUUAACCUGGGAACUGCAUUUGAGACGCAUAGACUAAAGGUCGAGAGAGGGUUGUGGAAUUCCCAGUGUAGAGGUGAAAUUCGUAGAUAUUGGGAAGAACACCGGUGGCGAAGGGGCAACCUGGCUCGAUACUGACGCUGAGGCGCGAAAGCGUGGGAGCAAACAGGAUUAGAUACCCUCGUAGUC